GUGGCUGUGGCUCAGGGGUAGAAUGCUUAUCUAGCACAUGCGAGGCACUGGGUUCGAUCCUCAGCAUCACA
This 71-nucleotide transfer RNA is filed under the name Marmota monax (woodchuck). RNAcentral's name for it is "tRNA.Ala". Lineage: Eukaryota; Metazoa; Chordata; Mammalia; Rodentia; Sciuridae. The record is from RNAcentral.